UUGACCUCGGAUCAGGUAGGGAUACCCGCUGAACUUAAGCAUAUCAAUAAGCGGAGGAAAAGAAACCAACAGGGAUUGCCCCAGUAACGGCGAGUGAAGCGGCAAAAGCUCAAAUUUGAAAUCUGGCCUCCUACGGGGGUCCGAGUUGUAAUUUGUAGAGGAUGCUUCGGGUGUGGCCGCCGUCUAAGUUCCUUGGAACAGGACGUCAGAGAGGGUGAGAAUCCCGUCUUGGGCGGCCGGUCCGCGCCCGUGUGAAGCUCCUUCGAAGAGUCGAGUUGUUUGGGAAUGCAGCUCUAAGCGGGUGGUAAAUUUCAUCUAAAGCUAAAUACUGGUCGGAGACCGAUAGCGAACAAG
This 354-nucleotide ribosomal RNA is filed under the name Nannizzia gypsea. Its description in RNAcentral is "eukaryotic LSU rRNA". It matches the Rfam family "Eukaryotic large subunit ribosomal RNA", at positions 1 to 348 of the family's 3401-position model. Lineage: Eukaryota; Fungi; Ascomycota; Eurotiomycetes; Onygenales; Arthrodermataceae. The record is from RNAcentral.